UGGGGAAUAUUGCACAAUGGGGGAAACCCUGAUGCAGCGACGCCGCGUGAGCGAAGAAGGUUUUCGAAUCGUAAAGCUCUGUCCUAUGAGAAGAUAAUGACGGUAUCAUAGGAGGAAGCCCCGGCUAAAUACGUGCCAGCAGCCGCGGUAAUACGUAUGGGGCGAGCGUUGUCCGGAAUUAUUGGGCGUAAAGGGUACGUAGGCGGUCUAUUAAGUCAGGUGUGAAAGCGUGAGGCUUAACCUCAUUAAGCACUUGAAACUGAUAGACUGGAGUGAAGGAGAGGAAAGUGGAAUUCCUAGUGUAGCGGUGAAAUGCGUAGAUAUUAGGAGGAAUACCGGUGGCGAAGGCGACUUUCUGGACUUUUACUGACGCUCAGGUACGAAAGCGUGGGGAGCAAACAGG
RNAcentral lists this ribosomal RNA (403 nucleotides) under Verrucomicrobiota bacterium. RNAcentral describes it as "Verrucomicrobia bacterium partial 16S ribosomal RNA". It matches the Rfam family "Bacterial small subunit ribosomal RNA", at positions 355 to 776 of the family's 1533-position model. Lineage: Bacteria; Pseudomonadati; Verrucomicrobiota. The record is from RNAcentral.